UCAGGUACUUAGUGACUCUCA
RNAcentral lists this non-coding RNA (21 nucleotides) under Drosophila melanogaster (fruit fly). RNAcentral also lists the same sequence under 1 other name. Lineage: Eukaryota; Metazoa; Arthropoda; Insecta; Diptera; Drosophilidae. The record is from RNAcentral.